AACGAACGCUGGCGGCAUGCCUAACACAUGCAAGUCGAACGAGACCUUCGGGUCUAGUGGCGCACGGGUGCGUAACGCGUGGGAACCUGCCCUUAGGUUCGGAAUAACUCCCCGAAAGGGGUGCUAAUACCGGAUAAUGUCUUCGGACCAAAGAUUUAUCGCCUUUGGAUGGGCCCGCGUUGGAUUAGCUAGUUGGUAGGGUAAAAGCCUACCAAGGCGACGAUCCAUAGCUGGUCUGAGAGGAUGAUCAGCCACACUGGGACUGAGACACGGCCCAGACUCCUACGGGGGGCAGCAGUGGGAAAUUUUGGCCAAGGGGGAAAGGCCUGACCCAGCACUGCCCGGGGGGUGAUGAAGGCCUUAGGGUUGUAAAGCUCUUUUCCCCGGGAUGAUAAUGACAGAACCGGGAGAAUAAGCCCCGGCUAACCCCGU
This 432-nucleotide ribosomal RNA is filed under the name uncultured bacterium. Its description in RNAcentral is "partial 16S ribosomal RNA". It matches the Rfam family "Bacterial small subunit ribosomal RNA", at positions 29 to 506 of the family's 1533-position model. The record is from RNAcentral.